Molecule: ribosomal RNA, 495 nt
Filed under: uncultured bacterium
Lineage: Bacteria
Description: bacterial SSU rRNA
Rfam family: Bacterial small subunit ribosomal RNA
Source: RNAcentral
GAUGAACGCUAGCGGCAGGCUUAACACAUGCAAGUCGAGGGGCAGCAUGAUUUAACUUCGGGUUAGAUUGAUGGCGACCGGCGCAAGGGUGCGUAACGCGUGAGCAACUUGCCCUUAUCAGGGGAAUAACCGUUGGAAACGACGACUAAUACCCCAUAGCAUCACUUCAAGGCAUCUUUUAGUGAUUAAAGAAUUUCGGAUAAGGAUAGGCUCGCGUGACAUUAGCUAGAUGGCGGGGUAACGGCCCACCAUGGCGACGAUGUCUAGGGGUUCUGAGAGGAAGGUCCCCCACACUGGAACUGAGACACGGUCCAGACUCCUACGGGAGGCAGCAGUGAGGAAUAUUGGUCAAUGGUCGAGAGACUGAACCAGCCAUGCCGCGUGAAGGUCACGGCCCUAUGGGUCUUAAACUUCUUUGUAAGGGAGCAAUAAGCUUUACGUGUAGAGUGAUGAGAGUACCUUACGAAUAAGCAUCGGCUAACUCCGUGCCAGCAG